RNAcentral lists this ribosomal RNA (253 nucleotides) under uncultured bacterium. RNAcentral's name for it is "partial 16S ribosomal RNA". It matches the Rfam family "Bacterial small subunit ribosomal RNA", at positions 524 to 776 of the family's 1533-position model. The record is from RNAcentral.
UACGGGGGGGGCAAGCGUUGUUCGGAAUUACUGGGCGUAAAGGGCGCGUAGGCGGCCUGCUAAGUCGGAUGUGAAAACUCUGGGCUCAACCCAGAGCCUGCAUUCGAUACUGCCGUGCUUGAGGACUGGAGAGGAGACUGGAAUUUACGGUGUAGCGGUGAAAUGCGUAGAUAUCGUAAGGAAGACCAGUGGCGAAGGCGGGUCUCUGGACAGUUCCUGACGCUGAGGCACGAAGGCCAGGGGAGCAAACGGG